This is a long non-coding RNA of Malania oleifera, 764 nucleotides long. RefSeq lists it as uncharacterized. NCBI's taxonomy places the organism in Eukaryota, Viridiplantae, Streptophyta, Magnoliopsida, Santalales, Ximeniaceae. The record is from RefSeq and is a predicted model, not a curated record. The transcript is spliced from 3 exons.
AUUUCCAACCUCUCUCUUCUUUCUCUAGCUCUUCCCUCCUUCAUCCGUUCCAUGAGCUCCAAUCCGAACUCAUCUGCUCGAACUCCAGCGAUGACAUCACGAAGUCGACUCUGAUUUUAUCUCUGAUCAUGGUUAUGUCAGGAUUCUUGCUGGGUAUUGGCAGCAACUUCUCUAGCAACAGUCGGGUCCUGAGCAGGGAACUUGGCGAACUUCACCAAUGGCAGUCUUGGUCUUCUUGGUGAGCCGAUUCAUGGCGAGAUGGACAUAAAGAGCGAUCUCACCCACUCAAGCUAGGGUUAUGGUUUGUGGGUAUUGAGAAGGAGGAGGAGGAGGAAGAAGAAACAGAGGAGGGUUUUCUCACUGAUUUCCACGACAUGCGUGCUGGGUUUUGAAGCAGGGGAACCCACGAAUGAAGGAUUCAGGUACUCUAAAUCCUGCGACCUUCUGUUCUCACUUCGAAGUUUCUUGCUUGAUGAGUUCGACUGAGGUCUCGAUUUCGUUCUUCAGUCUGAUGGUCAAAGGAAAACAAAUAGGUGCUCCAAAAAAGCAAAGGGUUUUUGGCUUCUCCAGAUAAGUGAAAGUGGAAAAUCUACGUGGCGGCUGGAGAAUGGAGGGCAAGGCAUUUUUAUUUUUUGUAUUUUCAUUCAUUUUUUGUAAUUUUUAUGUACCCCUGAGUUGCUCUUCCUGCAACUUAAAUUUGUACACUCAUAUUUAUUUCCGUAUAUGCUUUCUUCUAUAUGCACUUUCUUUCUUGCAUGUUUGAA